RNAcentral lists this ribosomal RNA (266 nucleotides) under uncultured archaeon. RNAcentral's name for it is "partial 16S ribosomal RNA". It matches the Rfam family "Archaeal small subunit ribosomal RNA", at positions 717 to 982 of the family's 1478-position model. The record is from RNAcentral.
ACACGACUACAUUAGAUACCCGGGUAGUCCUAGCCGUAAACGAUACUCGCUAGGUGUCAGCCACGGUGCGACCGUUGUCGGUGCCGUAGGGAAGCCGUGAAGCGAGCCACCUGGGAAGUACGGCCGCAAAGGCUGAAACGUUAAAGGAAUUGGCGGGGAGCACAACAACGGGUGGAGCUUGCGGUUUAAUUGGAUUCAACGCCGGAAAUCUUACCGGGACCGACAGCAACAUGAAGGCCAAGCUGAAGACUUUGCCGGAUUAGCUG